UAGGGAAUCUUCCGCAAUGGACGCAAGUCUGACGGAGCAACGCCGCGUGAGUGAAGAAGGAUUUCGGUUCGUAAAACUCUGUUGUUAGAGAAGAACAGCGCAUAGAGUAACUGUUAUGCGUGUGACGGUAUCUAACCAGAAAGCCACGGCUAACUACGUGCCAGCAGCCGCGGUAAUACGUAGGUGGCAAGCGUUGUCCUGAUUUAUUGGGCGUAAAGCGAGCGCAGGCGGUCAAUUAAGUCUGAUGUGAAAGCCCCCGGCUCAACCGGGGAGGGUCAUUGGAAACUGGUUGACUUGAGUGCAGAAGAGGAGAGUGGAAUUCCAUGUGUAGCGGUGAAAUGCGUAGAUAUAUGGAGGAACACCAGUGGCGAAGGCGACUCUCUGGUCUGUAACUGACGCUGAGGCUCGAAAGCGUGGGUAGCAAACAGG
This 429-nucleotide ribosomal RNA is filed under the name Bacteroidota bacterium. RNAcentral describes it as "Bacteroidetes bacterium partial 16S ribosomal RNA". It matches the Rfam family "Bacterial small subunit ribosomal RNA", at positions 355 to 776 of the family's 1533-position model. The record is from RNAcentral. Lineage: Bacteria; Pseudomonadati; Bacteroidota.